RNAcentral lists this non-coding RNA (102 nucleotides) under Heyndrickxia shackletonii. RNAcentral describes it as "Bacillus shackletonii Guanine sequence". It matches the Rfam family "Purine riboswitch aptamer". Rfam says of the family: Riboswitches are metabolite binding domains within certain messenger RNAs that serve as precision sensors for their corresponding targets. Allosteric rearrangement of mRNA structure is mediated by ligand binding, and this results in modulation of gene expression. A class of riboswitches that selectively recognises guanine and becomes saturated at concentrations as low as 5 nM. The record is from Rfam by way of RNAcentral. Lineage: Bacteria; Bacillati; Bacillota; Bacilli; Caryophanales; Bacillaceae.
AGUAUAAUUAACAACAUGUCUUGUAUAUGAUUAGGAAUACGGCCUAAUUGUUUCUACCAAGCUGCCGUAAAUGGCUUGACUACAGGAGUUUUGUUAUAUUUA